Molecule: ribosomal RNA, 353 nt
Filed under: Anaerotignum lactatifermentans
Lineage: Bacteria; Bacillati; Bacillota; Clostridia; Lachnospirales; Anaerotignaceae
Description: bacterial SSU rRNA
Rfam family: Bacterial small subunit ribosomal RNA
Source: RNAcentral
UCCACCUGGGGAGUACGACCGCAAGGUUGAAACUCAAAGGAAUUGACGGGGGCCCGCACAAGCGGUGGAGCAUGUGGUUUAAUUCGAAGCAACGCGAAGAACCUUAACAAGGCUUGACAUCCCGAUGACCGCUCUAGAGAUAGAGCUUCUCUUCGGAACAUCGGUGACAGGUGGGGCAUGGUUGUCGUCAGCUCGUGUCGUGAGAUGUUGGGUUAAGUCCCGCAACGAGCGCAACCCUUAUCUGCAGUAGCCAUCAUUGAGUUGGGCACUCUGGAGAGACUGCCGUGGAUAACACGGAGGAAGGUGGGGAUGACGUCAAAUCAUCAUGCCCCUUAUGUCUUGGGCUACACACG